Lethenteron reissneri (Far Eastern brook lamprey) is the source of this 1544-nucleotide long non-coding RNA. RefSeq lists it as uncharacterized. Lineage: Eukaryota; Metazoa; Chordata; Hyperoartia; Petromyzontiformes; Petromyzontidae. The record is from RefSeq and is a predicted model, not a curated record.
AAUGAUAAUGAUGACGACAACGAUGAUGAUGACAAUGAUGAUGAUGACAAUAAGGAUGAUGACGACGAUGAUGAUGAUUAUGACAAUGAUAAUGAUGACGACAACGAUGAUGAUGAUGACGACAAUGAUGAUGAUGACAAUGAUGAUGACGAAGAUGACGACGACAACGAUGAUGAUGACGAUAAUCAUGAUGAUGCUUUCUCACUGUUCCUCAGCCAUGUAUGAGCACAAGAUCUUUGUUCAAGGCAUCAUCUGGGACAUCAACAGCUUCGAUCAGUGGGGGGUGGAGCUGGGGAAGCAGCUGGCCAAGGUGAUCGAGCCGGAGCUCACGACGGCCCAGCCGGCCACGGGUCACGACUCUUCCACCAACGGCCUCAUCAACUUCAUCAAGGCCCAUCGCAAAUGAGCGGCUCCCAGCGGCUCUGCGGGAGUUGUGGGGGGGGUGGGGGGGGGUUGUGGGGGUGUUCGGAGAUGUCGGGGGCCCUCGGCAGCUCCAUAGGACCCCUGUGCAAUGAUCUCAGAAUUGCUGCUUCAUCUGGGAGCUCCUCACAUCAAAUCUAACGCCUCUAGUGUGUGUCGUUUAUUUUUUUCGACUGGCGCACAUCUGAGCCGUGCCGAGCCAGCCCUCGGCACGGUCCAGGUUGCUCUUUUUCACUGCGGGAACCGAGCCGCGGAGAGUCACGCGCGCGACGACGCCAGCACCGUACCGUGCUGGCCUCGAGCUGGCUUGGCUCAGAUGUGCCAGUGGAAAACCACUCGUUCCGUGCUUGCCUCGAGCUGGCUUGGCUCAGAUGUGCCAGUGGAAAACCACCCGUACCGUGCUGGCCUCGAGCUGGCUUGGCUCAGAUGUGCCAGUGGAAAACCACCCGUACCGUGCUUGCCUCGAGCUGGCUUGGCUCAGAUGUGCCAGUGGAAAACCACUCGUUCCGUGCUUGCCUCGAGCUGGCUUGGCUCAGAUGUGCCAGUGGAAAACCACCCGUACCGUGCUUGCCUCAAGUUGGCUUGGCUCAGAUGUGCCAGUGGAAAACCACCCGUACCGUGCUUGCCUCGAGCUGGCUUGGCUCAGAUGUGCCAGUGGAAAACCACCCGUACCGUGCUUGCCUCGAGCUGGCUUGGCUCAGAUGUGCCAGUGGAAAACCACCCGUACCGUGCUUGCCUCAAGUUGGCUUGGCUCAGAUGUGUCAGUGGAAAACCACCCGUACCGUCGUGGCCUCGAGCUGGCGCGGCUCAGAUGUGCCAGUGUAAAACCACCCGUACCGUGCUGGCCUCAUGUUGGCUCGGCUCAGAUGUGCCAGUGAAAAACCACCCGAAACUCGGUCGGAACGGGCAACUGGACAUACGACGGACAGGUUUUGUUCGUAUCUCUGAAAGUUCCUAAGUCGAAUGUUCGUAAGUACAAGGAGUAUCUGUAUCUUCAGCGUGGCCUAUUACCUUGCGAACGCACCGCCCCCAAGCGAUGACGAAUCACCCGUUGACUUCAACGAUUCGUCGUUUCGCACAGGUACCCUGCGCGGCUAAAUAAAUAAACAAUUCAGGCGACCGCA